GAAGAAACUCAGUGGAAACCUUGCUUGGUGGAGACAGUGCACAGUGUUAGUGCCACAUUCACAGGGGCAGAAAUGCUCGGUCACCCUGUGCACCCAAAGUCACCCAGGAUCUCUAGAAAAGAUCCCACUUACUGAAGUGCCUCGGAUGUCUUCAGGGCCAGAUUGUAACUACACAGGAACAGGGAAGGGCUAAGCUGAACUGCAAAUUGACAAACACAAACGAUGAGUCACAGGACUCUACAGUAGUUACAAUGGCAUUUUUAUAUGUCCCAAGUGUUGACUGGAGAGUAAAGUGUUAACUGAGCUGCUAGAACACCCUUCACUGAAAGAGCUUUCUACCCCACGCCCAUUGUUCCGAAGAAGGAGAGGCUAUGUGGGGCGGAUGGGAACCCACACACCGAGAUGAACUUUUCUCUUUCUUCCAAUCUGCACCCACCAUCUGACAUUCUGGAGUGUAAGGCACUAGAACCUGGCUUAGAGAAUAGUGGGGCUCUAAGCUCCAGUUCUUGGUGUGCAAAGGAAAUUCUGACAUACAUCUUUUGAAAGAGAUGCUAAAAAACCCUCCCUAUCUCCUGUAAUUUCUGUCUUUGACAGACAGGAAAAUAAGAAGGCAGAAGAUGGUCUGCAAAGGAUAAAAACAGGUGCAUCUAAGAAUGAGAAAAAUGGCUCAUGAAGAAAUGUGUAACUCUCCAAGAGAUGCAGACACUCUGCUCAGAGAAGUCAAGAACCAUAAACAACUCUUCAUGUUUCAUGGACAAAGGGAAGGCAAAGGCAUACAAAAAUACUCAGUUGUCUUGAAAAGUGUACUGGUAGUGAUCAGGGCUACAAAGGCGAGCCCUGUACUGACAAUGGAGGAGCCUUACAACUCAGCACCUUAAAUUGUUGGCCUGAAGUGGUGGCGGGGAGGGAGGCGCUGACGGAGAGACCCAUGGCUCACCACUUAUUGCGUGUACACAAGGCCUGGGGCAAGCCUCACAAGUCUACCAUUUCUUCCACUCAACUGUGCUUCUCCUGAAUCCAUGUGCCUGAAAUGACAUAUGCAAGGUUCUCAAAAAGUGGUGUAGACUCAGGCAAAUGCCAGGAAAUGUGUCCAUAUGCCAGAGGAGACACAGAGCCAGAAAUGAAGGCUAUGGGUCCUGUCUUCAGUGAAACACUGAACGCUCUCGGAAAGCUCCCAUCAUUCUUGCAUCGCUACUGCCACCAAGACGGUGGCAAGGGAGGAGGCUAACUUUCAAAUGCAUGCAACGGCAGAGUUCCUGAAUGAGAGCUUUUCUGGCUUCAGUACCAAUGAUCACAGAAGGAACAUCUUCCUGAUGCAAGCUUAGAUGGAAGUCAAUGACCCUGGCAGUGCUAAGAACAGAAGUCACACGUGGCCUGACGAUGAAGGGGAGGUUCAGAUGGCAUACACCGACAAGAGAAGGCAGAGACCAUCCUUCGUGGUGAGCACAAAAUGCUAUGACAGGUAAUUGCAGAGAGAAAAAAGCACCCAACUCUGUAAAGCCAAGUCCAGUCACCCAUUCACAAGAGUCCAAAAUCCUUCAAAUCUCUAGGGACAGAAGACAAACGUGCUGCCCAGAAUGAGCUGAGACACAAGGCAAACCCUUGGAAAUGACACAUGGAUGAGGAGGCUGUGGUUGUCCCUCCUUAUUCCUGCUGGAUUUGCAGCCACGGCUCUGGAUCUGGGGCAUCUACUGGCCUCCCCUGUUCACUCAAGAGGCCACUGCCUCUCAGGAGUCCAGAAUGCUCUGAUAUCUGACACCGGUGGUCAGGAAGUUAUGCUGCCCUCUCCUCUUGAACAGCUAAGAUGCUUGGACACUAGACAGAGGCAAAGCAGUUAUGCCAGAAGCAGGGGAGAGUCAUUCACUGUCAGAUCUGUCUGUUCAAAGAGCUCACAUUAGACCAAUCACAGAAAACCACCAGACUCACACAGCUUGUAUUUGAAUGAACCAGGAGAGACUUCAAGGAUCAACUCUAAAGUGCUAGAAGAGAAAUCUGUGUUUGGGGCACUGAAUAAACAAGUGAUGUCCUAGAAGAUCAACACCCCAUCAGUCUUAGGAGUAUGACCCUAUUCAUGGACAAGGGGUUUCAAUGGACAGCCUGAGUGCUCAGCCCCCCAUCCUCCUCUCCUAGCAAGACAAGCAGUCUGUUGCUCAGAGGGGGAAACUGAUGUCAUUUAACAGGAGGUCAGGAUUUCUGGUUCUACUUCAACAAACAGUGCAUAAUUUUGGACACAGCAUCAGAUUUCCUGACUUCUUACAAAGGACAGCUAAUUAAAAACGUGUCAAUCUGUAGUAAUUAGUUGGAGAUUAACAAGGGCAGAAGAGAAUCCAAGUCUUAAAACUCUAUGUGGGAUACAUUUCUGAUGAAGCUUCUAUUUGACUAAUAUACUGUGAUGAUGGCACUAUUCGAUUUUAAACUAUGGAGACAGCUUUUAUUAUUUCGAUUUGGAUCCUGGUAAGUGGUGAUACUGCUAUGUAACAGUUAAAGCACAAAUGUAUUGCCAUAGUUAAGGUUGAAGAGUUAUGUCUAUGUGUAACUAAAUUCUUCUGGAUUCAAUUACAAAUACGUUUUCCUUUACAAAGAUGGCUUUGGAGGGGUGCAAAUGCUACGUGUUUGGAAGAGCAGAGGAGGCCUGCAGCUCUCAGUCACCUGUCUCCAUCUUCGGAGGAGGGCGUCGCGACCAAUGAAAUCCAUGCCCUAAGAAAGAAAGGAAACGCCGAGUCAUCCAGCGACACUCAGACCCUCGGCACAGAGAGCAGCACCGUGGGAAGGGUCCCCUGGUGUCACUGCAAUGGGGCACAGCCGCCUCCUCCCACAACCCUGCCAGCUUUU
This 2832-nucleotide long non-coding RNA is filed under the name Homo sapiens (human). RNAcentral's name for it is "PREDICTED lncRNA (TCONS_00104317)". The record is from RNAcentral. Lineage: Eukaryota; Metazoa; Chordata; Mammalia; Primates; Hominidae.